Mauremys reevesii (Reeves's turtle) is the source of this 473-nucleotide long non-coding RNA. RefSeq lists it as uncharacterized. The transcript has 3 exons. NCBI's taxonomy places the organism in Eukaryota, Metazoa, Chordata, Testudines, Geoemydidae. The record is from RefSeq and is a predicted model, not a curated record.
AGACCGAGCACCGCCGCGCCCGCCCUCACCAACAUGGCGACGCGAGAGAGACGGGGGCCCGUCAGGGCGGACCGACGGCAGCAACCGCUGUAGGAGCCGCAGCCGCCAUCUUGCGCGUGUCAGGUUGGGAGCGAGGCGGAUCUCAGCCAGUUCUGAGGCCAGAGAGAAUCAUACUUUGCUAGGGAGCUGUGCUGCUGAACACUGAUGCUUCUUGGGCCAGAUACUGCCACCCUUACUCUUGCUAAGUAAUACCUGACUCUGUACAGAACACACGUCUGAUUGACAAAAAUGCCUGACUGUCCCGAUGUAGCUACAGUGUCAACCAAGUUAACAGUGUUGUUUGUUUGAAAGACUGCCGUCCUUGUACUGUGCUUAGUGUGUGGGGAAAAAUGAAAUGUACCAUUUGUUGGAAUCAUACUGGCUAAGCCAUGUCACUUUAUACGCAUCUCUUUAAUAAAAGACAAUUGGCCAAA